GUGAGGAAUAUUGCGCAAUGGAGGCAACUCUGACGCAGCCAUGCCGCGUGCAGGAAGAAGGCGCUACGCGUUGUAAACUGCUUUUAACCGGGAAGAAACCCCAGGACGUGUCCUGGGUUGACGGUACCGGAGGAAUAAGCACCGGCUAACUUCGUGCCAGCAGCCGCGGUAAUACGAAGGGUGCAAGCGUUAUCCGGAUUCAUUGGGUUUAAAGGGUGCGUAGGCGGAGCGUUAAGUCAGUGGUGAAAUACGGCAGCUUAACUGUGGACUGGCCAUUGAUACUGGCGCGCUUGAGUGCGCUUGAAGUGGGCGGAAUGUGCCGUGUAGCGGUGAAAUGCUUAGAUAUGGCACAGAACACCAAUUGCGAAGGCAGCUCACUAAGGCGAUACUGACGCUGAUGCACGAAAGCGUGGGGAUCGAACAGGAUUAGAAACCCUGGUAGUCC
Molecule: ribosomal RNA, 445 nt
Filed under: uncultured bacterium
Lineage: Bacteria
Description: partial 16S ribosomal RNA
Rfam family: Bacterial small subunit ribosomal RNA
Source: RNAcentral